RNAcentral lists this ribosomal RNA (1227 nucleotides) under uncultured bacterium. RNAcentral's name for it is "partial 16S ribosomal RNA". It matches the Rfam family "Bacterial small subunit ribosomal RNA", at positions 64 to 1334 of the family's 1533-position model. The record is from RNAcentral.
GAACGGUUGUAGCAAUACAGCAGUGGCAGACGGGUGAGUAACACGUGGGAACCUUCCUAGGGGUACGGAACAACUCAGGGAAACUUGAGCUAAUACCGUAUACGUCCGUGAGGAGAAAGAUUUAUCGCCCUUAGACGGGCCCGCGUCGGAUUAGCUAGUUGGUGGGGUAACGGCCUACCAAGGCGACGAUCCGUAGCUGAUCUUAGAGGAUGAUCAGCCACACUGGGACUGAGACACGGCCCAGACUCCUACGGGAGGCAGCAGUGGGGAAUCUUGGACAAUGGGCGCAAGCCUGAUCCAGCCAUGCCGCGUGAGUGAAGAAGGUCUUCGGAUUGUAAAGCUCUUUUGCCAGGGACGAUAAUGACGGUACCUGGAGAAUAAGCCCCGGCAAACUUCGUGCCAGCAGCCGCGGUAAUACGAAGGGGGCUAGCGUUGUUCGGAAUUACUGGGCGUAAAGCGUGCGUAGGCGGUUUGGUCAGUCAGCCGUGAAAGCCCCGGGCUUAACCUGGGAACGGCGGUUGAGACGGCCAGACUCGAGUGGGCUAGAGGAUCGUGGAAUUCCCGGUGUAGCAGUGAAAUGCGUAGAGAUGUGGAGGAACACCAAUGGCGAAGGCAGCCCCCUGGGUCGAUACUGACGCUCAUGCACGAAAGCGUGGGUAGCAAACAGGAUUAGAUACCCUGGUAGUCCACGCCCUAAACGAUGUCAACUAGGUGUUGGGUGGGUAAAACCAUUUAGUACCGUAGCUAACGCGUGAAGUUGACCGCCUGGGGAGUACGGCCGCAAGGUUAAAACUCAAAGGAAUUGACGGGGACCCGCACAAGCGGUGGAUGAUGUGGAUUAAUUCGAUGCAACGCGAAAAACCUUACCUACCCUUGACAUGCCAGGAACUUGCCAGAGAUGGCUUGGUGCCCGAAAGGGAGCCUGGACACAGGUGCUGCAUGGCUGUCGUCAGCUCGUGUCGUGAGAUGUUGGGUUAAGUCCCGCAACGAGCGCAACCCUUGUCGUUAAUUGCCAUCAUUUGGUUGGGCACUUUAACGAGACUGCCGGUGACAAACCGGAGGAAGGUGGGGAUGACGUCAAGUCCUCAUGGCCCUUAUGUCUUGGGCUUCACGCAUGCUACAAUGGCCGGUACAAAGGGCUGCGAAACCGUGAGGUGGAGCGAAUCCGAAAAAACCGAUCGUAGUCCGGAUUGCAGUCUGCAACUCGACUGCAUGAAGUCGGAAUCG